CACAACCAAGACUCAGAGAAAAAUGAAGCCAGGACAGAAUCUAUCCACAUUGAAUCUGAUGAUAAUGGAAUGGAUACCACUCAGAGUACUGCAUCUGCACCACAAUCCAAGGCCUCUAUGAAUACCUAGGAACGUACAGUUCUUCAACUGAUUGAUAAAAUCACAAAUUUCGUUAUCGACGAUGAUGAGGAAGAGGUGC
Molecule: long non-coding RNA, 199 nt
Filed under: Gossypium raimondii (Peruvian cotton)
Lineage: Eukaryota; Viridiplantae; Streptophyta; Magnoliopsida; Malvales; Malvaceae
Description: long non-coding RNA (GRAI_LNC000449)
Source: RNAcentral